UCAGGAUUUAGGAAGAAGGAAAAUAUAUAAAACUACCAACAACAACAAAGCAAAUAAUUUUUCAUUUUCAUUAGAAAGAAAAAUGUCAAACAAAUUACUAGCAUUGUUGUUGUUGGUUUGUGUUGUAACUGUUCAAGGAGGGAAAUUGAUGACCCCAGAAGCAUGCUACAGUUAUUGCUACAAAUCCAUGAUGUACCCCAGAGUCAUUGCACAUCCUAUAUGUAAAUUUCGUUGUAAAUACCCCAUGUACGAAAACGAGCCGGUUAAGCCUACAUGAGAAGCCUAGCACGUAAGGAAAGCUGGUACUCCGGCAAGUUUUCCGAUCCCAAUACCCAAAAAUCAUUGAGAAAGUAAAAUUUUGUGAAAGUUGUUGAAAUGGCAUGAUGAACAAGAAGAAUUCAAGAAAAGCACUAGGCUUUGUCAUGAAUCUAUGUUUUAUCAUUAGUUCGUGUGGAUCUCCGUCCAUUUUCCUCUUCCUUGUCAUUCGUAACCACUAUAUGUUAAAUUCUUUAUGAUUCUCUUA
Molecule: long non-coding RNA, 523 nt
Organism: Vicia villosa (hairy vetch)
Lineage: Eukaryota; Viridiplantae; Streptophyta; Magnoliopsida; Fabales; Fabaceae
Exons: 2
Source: RefSeq, a predicted model, not a curated record